GCUGAGCAUGGUGGUGGGUGCCUGUAAUCCCAGCUACUUGGGAGGCUGAGGCAGGAGAAUUGCUUGAACCCAGGAGGCGGAGGUUGCAGUGAGCUGAGAUCACGCCACUGCACUCCAACCUGGGUGACAGAGCAAGACUCUGUCUCCU
RNAcentral lists this non-coding RNA (148 nucleotides) under Homo sapiens (human). The record is from Rfam by way of RNAcentral. Lineage: Eukaryota; Metazoa; Chordata; Mammalia; Primates; Hominidae.